Molecule: ribosomal RNA, 717 nt
Filed under: Erwinia sp. EI1-02-9
Lineage: Bacteria; Pseudomonadati; Pseudomonadota; Gammaproteobacteria; Enterobacterales; Erwiniaceae
Description: bacterial SSU rRNA
Rfam family: Bacterial small subunit ribosomal RNA
Source: RNAcentral
GCAAGUCGAGCGGUAGCACAGGGAGCUUGCUCCUGGGUGACGAGCGGCGGACGGGUGAGUAAUGUCUGGGAAACUGCCCGAUGGAGGGGGAUAACUACUGGAAACGGUAGCUAAUACCGCAUAACGUCUUCGGACCAAAGUGGGGGACCUUCGGGCCUCACACCAUCGGAUGUGCCCAGAUGGGAUUAGCUAGUAGGUGGGGUAACGGCUCACCUAGGCGACGAUCCCUAGCUGGUCUGAGAGGAUGACCAGCCACACUGGAACUGAGACACGGUCCAGACUCCUACGGGAGGCAGCAGUGGGGAAUAUUGCACAAUGGGCGCAAGCCUGAUGCAGCCAUGCCGCGUGUGUGAAGAAGGCCUUCGGGUUGUAAAGCACUUUCAGCGAGGAGGAAGGGUGCAGUGUUAAUAGCGCUGUUCAUUGACGUUACUCGCAGAAGAAGCACCGGCUAACUCCGUGCCAGCAGCCGCGGUAAUACGGAGGGUGCAAGCGUUAAUCGGAAUUACUGGGCGUAAAGCGCACGCAGGCGGUUUGUUAAGUCAGAUGUGAAAUCCCCGCGCUUAACGUGGGAACUGCAUUUGAAACUGGCAAGCUAGAGUCUUGUAGAGGGGGGUAGAAUUCCAGGUGUAGCGGUGAAAUGCGUAGAGAUCUGGAGGAAUACCGGUGGCGAAGGCGGCCCCCUGGACAAAGACUGACGCUCAGGUGCGAAAGCGUGGG